CCUACGGGUGGCAGCAGUGGGGAAUAUUGGGCAAUGGGCGCAAGCCUGACCCAGCAACGCCGCGUGAAGGAAGAAGGCUUUCGGCUCGUAAACUUCUUUCCUCAGGGACGAAGGAAGUGACGGUACCUGAGUAAUAAGCCACGGCUAACUACGUGCCAGCAGCCGCGGUAAUACGUAGGUGGCAAGCGUUAUCCGGAUUUAUUGGGUGUAAAGGGCGUGUAGGCGGGAGGGUAAGUCAGAUGUGAAAACUCAGGGCUUAACCCUGAGCCUGCAUUUGAAACUGUGUAUCUUGAGUGCUGGAGAGGAAAGCGGAAUUCCGUGUGUAGCGGUGAAAUGCGUAGAUAUAAGGAAGAACACCAGUGGCGAAGGCGGAUUGCUGGACAGAAACUGACGCUGAGGCGCGAAAGCGUGGGGAGCGAACAGGAUUAGAUACCCCAGUAGUC
This 443-nucleotide ribosomal RNA is filed under the name uncultured bacterium. RNAcentral describes it as "partial 16S ribosomal RNA". It matches the Rfam family "Bacterial small subunit ribosomal RNA", at positions 338 to 795 of the family's 1533-position model. The record is from RNAcentral.